This 151-nucleotide unclassified non-coding RNA is filed under the name uncultured Ascomycota. Its description in RNAcentral is "sequence contains ITS2". Lineage: Eukaryota; Fungi; Ascomycota. The record is from RNAcentral.
CCACCCUCAAGCCUGGCUUGGUAUUGGGCCCCCGCGUCCCCCGAUCCCGGGGGACGGGCCCCAAUGACGUUGGCGGCGCGGUGUGACCCCCCGGAGCGUGACGGAUGCACGACGACGGGAGCGGCCCGCUGCCCACCCCCCUUGUCUUCAA